GAGAUUUACAGUUAUUUGCACCCUUGUAGGUGGGAAACAUUGCGUUCCUGUGAGAAACGUGUAGUGGACUCCACCGCCACUGACCAAUAUUUAUUAGGGUGUGACGCAAACUUGUGGACAGGUAAGUAAAACAAUACAGUUGGAGGGAUACUCCUGCUGCGUUUUACUGUCCAGUGUAAGUCAUCUCCUGCUUUCAUUCACAGAGUACCGAGCUGCUGCUUUGCCGAGUGGAUUUCUGGCUGCGGGCAAAGGACCCGACACAUCAGUGUGUUUUAAUUUGUUUUAACCUGGUGUAACUCGACGGACUGUGACUGCUGCGGCUGUCGGUUUUGUUUGCUUCUUGUUUUAUUUUUCUGUAUCAGUAGGCACCGUAGAUAUUGAUUGUCUUUUAGUGUUUUAUAUGAAAACACCUUUUUUUAUAUAUAUAUCGUUGCAGACGGUGAAGACGCUGCGUGGAAUACAAAUUCUUUGUUUUGGUCUUGCCGCUUUUUGCAUGCACCGCGCGGGGCACAGAGACUGAUCCAGCUGCAGUCUAAUCAGCACUGACAACAGUUAUGAACGAAUAGUCAUCAGACAAAAGUGGACCAGAGGGAGAACGGCACUUUAUUCUCAAUGCUGGACAGAACCAACCAGCUGCUGGUCUCUAACUGCUUCCCAGCACCUCAGACCAGAGGAGGGACACAGUGAGACCUGAAACAUCAGAGCUGUGACGUUUAGACCAAAGCAAUUCCUGCACAUCCACCGAAGAGGUUUAAAUCUGAAGAUGACACAGCGGGAGAAGCUCUAGUGGUCAUAUAUAAACCAUGUGUGAGGAUGGUGUUAAUGUAAAAUGUGAAUCAUAGUGUUCCAGUCAGUCAUCAGUGUGUCUCUGCACAGCUGUAAUUAAAAUGUGUUCAGAGGG
This is a long non-coding RNA of Oreochromis niloticus (Nile tilapia), 901 nucleotides long. RefSeq lists it as uncharacterized. The transcript has 2 exons. NCBI's taxonomy places the organism in Eukaryota, Metazoa, Chordata, Actinopteri, Cichliformes, Cichlidae. The record is from RefSeq and is a predicted model, not a curated record.